ACCACUUAACAGUCAUCUUGGGGAUAUUUGAUUUAUGCCUUUAUAUAUGGUUUUUGUUGCCCUAUAGUGAUCUAUUUAUAUUCCCCAGUUGUUGCGCAAAAAAUUACCAACCCCCCCUGGCGCCAUGUGCGUGGGCCCACAACACACACACACACGUGUGGGCACAUUCUCUGGCAUGUGCAUGAAGGUGUUUCUAUGUUCAAUAUGUGUUCUGAUACUACAGGCCAUAUAGCCUUUGUGGUUUGAGGAACUGGCCCUCUGAAGGAUCAUAUUAUACUGAGGUAUGAUGCCA
Molecule: unclassified non-coding RNA, 292 nt
Filed under: Hevea brasiliensis (rubber tree)
Lineage: Eukaryota; Viridiplantae; Streptophyta; Magnoliopsida; Malpighiales; Euphorbiaceae
Source: RNAcentral